GGAGUUGUAGCUCAGGGGCAGAGCAUUUGCCUAGUGUGAUGAGGCACUGAGUUUGAUCCUCAGCACCACUA
RNAcentral lists this transfer RNA (71 nucleotides) under Marmota monax (woodchuck). Its description in RNAcentral is "tRNA.Thr". Lineage: Eukaryota; Metazoa; Chordata; Mammalia; Rodentia; Sciuridae. The record is from RNAcentral.